Molecule: long non-coding RNA, 274 nt
Filed under: Capsicum annuum
Lineage: Eukaryota; Viridiplantae; Streptophyta; Magnoliopsida; Solanales; Solanaceae
Description: long non-coding RNA (CANN_LNC014869)
Source: RNAcentral
UUGACUCAAACCACUACACCACCACCAUGGAACACCCAUAGCCUUUGGAUCAGAGCAAAAUCACCGCCAGAAAUAAUCACCAUUGACGGCAACAUUUGAAACCUCCGUUGAAGCCUAAAAACUGAAACCUUCAUUGUCUCCUUGCACCUUCAUCCUAGAUAGCUUCUUCAAUUUUUUUUAAAAACUGAAAUGGAACUUAUAUCUAUUUCUUCAUUGUCUUCUUCAUUUUUGUGUUCGUUGUUGGGGGAAGUUAAAGAGGUCAAGGCGAUUCGAG